UACGGCGGAUCCGAGCGUUAUCCGGAUUUAUUGGGUUUAAAGGGUGCGUAGGCGGCCUUGUAAGUCAGGGGUGAAAGACGGUAGCUUAACUAUCGCAGUGCCUUUGAUACUGCAGGGCUUGAAUGUACUUGAGGUAGGCGGAAUGUGACAAGUAGCGGUGAAAUGCAUAGAUAUGUCACAGAACACCAAUGGCGAAGGCAGCUUACUAAAGUAUGAUUGACGCUGAGGCACGAAAGCGUGGGGAUCAAACAGG
This 253-nucleotide ribosomal RNA is filed under the name uncultured bacterium. RNAcentral's name for it is "partial 16S ribosomal RNA". It matches the Rfam family "Bacterial small subunit ribosomal RNA", at positions 524 to 776 of the family's 1533-position model. The record is from RNAcentral.